GAGGGUGUUAAGAAUUGAAGUAGUAAAAUCUUCAACAGUCACACUGGAUGGAGUUGUUUUAUCUUUUAUAAUGUUGAAUUGCAUUUAUGAUUCAGAAGACUCUAGUCAUGCUUGUGGUUUCAUUCUUACUGUUAAUGGAAAGAAAAUAAACGUAUUGAAAACAGACUUCAGAAAAAGAGUUAUGUUUCAGGAAAAAUAAAUUAAUUUCUCUCCCAUAUGACUUUACAAAGAAUGAGUUUCCAGUUUUUAUAAGACAGCACUGUGAUAUAUGUAGACCAUUAAUAUGUUAACCCUCUUCAUAUUGCCUUCUAUUUAAGAAAUCUUUAUCUUUUAGAACGUUAACGUAGUAACAAAAGUUAUACUAUUGAAAGGCUUUAACUAUACAGAGAUGGCAGAACAUGAUUCUUUCACUGACCUCAAACAUCAAGUAAAUAAAGGCCAGAAGGGCCAGUGUUCUUAAAUGAGAAGUCACAUGUAUCACAUGGAAAAGUUUAAGAACAGAAUACAGAGCUGAUUGAAUGGCAUAAUGAUAACUGGUAGAUGUCAUGUGUGAUACAGUUGCUUCUGAUUUAUUCAUAUUAUUAGUAUUUAUCUCGUUCAAUGUGUUCAUACCGGAUUUUGAGCAAUAAAUUACUGUUACCAGGGUCCUGAUUAUUUUUGAGCAAAAUUCAAAAUGAUUGUGCAGAUAAUUACAUAUGCAUAAUGCAUUUCUCUCAACAAAUUUUAAUUAUAUUUAUAUAAACUUCUGAAUUCUCAACAUUGUAUUGUCUACGUUCUUUUCUACAGAGUACCACAAUGAUAUGUAAAGAAUUUUGUCCUUAUCCACUUGAAGAAUGUGAACAGUUAAAUAUAUGUGUGCAUGAGCGCAUGCAUGUACUGUGUGUCCAUGUGCAUUUGUUUGUGUAAGAAUAGGGAGCAAACACAAUGCACUUUUAGAUUUACAUGAGAAUUAAUUUUUAUAAAAUUAAUCUAAGUGUGAUGAUGAAUUUAAAAAUUGACCACUAAAUAUUCUUUUAUUAAUACAGGGGCUUUUAUAACACCUAGGGUUAGUGAAGCAGGUGGAAGAACAUUGUAUAAUUUCGACAUCAGGAACACUAGUCUGGAGUGGAUGAAAUUGUUGUCACUUCAGCCAAGAACUCAAAUGUAACAAAAGUACACCAGACAGAAAUAAAUUUACUUUCAAUAUCUUAAGGACCAUUUGUAUACCAUAUUAUAGAAGGAGGUAGGGAUAAUAUGAACAAAUUGUAUGGAUCAUAUGGUUAAUAAGCAUCAUUUUUUCUCUUUACAGCAUUUCUAUAUUCAUUAUACUUCUACUUAACUGAGGUUACAAAAUACUUUUAACUGUUAUUAAUAAUACCAUAGCACAUUACUCCAUUAGACUCUAAGGGCAUAUAGAAAGGAUUUUAUUUGCAAGAUUAUAUUUGAAGGUAAUAGCAAUUAGAAACGCAACUCCAGGACUGUUCUGAAUGUAUAAUAACGCAGCAAUUUUAUUAGGACAAUUUUGUGUCUAUUAUACGUAUUUAUAUGAGGGAGAGUCAGUAAAUAGGUCACAAAAGGAAGUGAAACAGUUGUAAUAGAAGCAAUGGAUUUUCUACGCGCUGCACUCAGUAGCAGCACAGUCGAGUUUCAUGACAGUCUAGGUAGCAGAUGUGCAUGUGCAUAUACAGAGGCUUGUUUCAGUAGUCAGAAUGGCAACCGUGCUUAACGAAUGUACUACUGAAGGGAAGAGUUCUGUUGUGCCUGUUUGUGGAUAAAAUGACUCAAUGCAAAUGAUAUUAAUAAAGAAUUGUUUCCUGGUUAUCAUGAGAAGUGUUUUUAAAGGGUUCUGAUGAUGGUGUAUAACACUCAAAAUUAAUAGGUUUUCAAACUUUUUCCACUGUCCAAAAACCCAGUCAUUUUGAGUGGGAAGCGUUUGUCAUGUACAGUGGUUCACAACUGGGUCAAUAAAUUCUCUCAAGGACGUUCGAAAGUCACGGAUGAUGCCCAAUUAGGUCACCCUGUUGAGAUUGCAACAGAAGCAACUGUGCAAUGGGUGGAAGAGUUGAUUCAAACUGACAGUAGUGCAACUGCACUAGAUCGUCCCCAUGGUUUAGCAUACAGCAAAAUGCAUGAUUGUUUGAAGUUUUGAAAAGUGGGGGCACAGUGGGUGCACAGAGAAGUGAGGGAUCGAGAAAAAAUGAACCAAAUGGGUCUGUCCUUGCAACAUCUCUUGCAGUAUACUGAUGAAGGAGAAGAUAUGCUUAACAGGAUAGUUACUGGGGACGAAUCAUGGGUGUAUCUCUACCAACAUGAAUCCAAGGGCGCUUCAAUGCCAUGGAAACAUCCCAGUUCAUUUUCUACCAAAAAGUUUAAGGUUAUGCUGUCAGCUGGAAAGGUUAUGCUUCCCAUGUUUAGAGAUUCUCAGGGAGUAAUAUUAGCCUAUUUCCAGCAGCAUGGUGAAAAUGUGAAUUCUGCAAAGUACUGUGAAGUUCUGUUGAAGCUUCAGGAUGCAAUUUGCAGAAAACAUCCAGGCCAACUGACAAGAGGGGUACUGAUUCAUUGUGACAAUGCCAGACUCCAUGCAGCCCAAGCACCCUGGGAGAGAAUUCGAGAACUACAGUGGGAACUUCUUGAACAUCUGCCUUACAGCCUGGAUUUGGCCCCUAGUGACUUCCAUCUGUCUGGUCUGCUAAAAAAGAAACACCUUGGUGGCAAAUAUUUCACUGAUGAUGAUGAAGAGGUUGACAUGGAGUUGCAGAAGUGGCUGAGACAACAGUCAAAACAACUUCUAUGCUGCGGGUUUUGACACAAUGACAAAGUGAUGGAAUGAGGGUGCCAGCUGAAAUCUCAGUGUCAAUUUGGCAGUGGUGCAUAUGAUUUGCCCUCUUCAGCACCAAAACAAGAAAGAAGACAAUGUCUCAAUGGAUCUUACCAAAAUUUGGUAAAAUUUUGUGAUAAGUUCCAGAUGUUCAGCAAGUCUGUAAAUUAAAUAAGAAUAAGCAUAAGUAAAUGUAUACAAAAUAAAUUUA
Molecule: long non-coding RNA, 3008 nt
Organism: Cryptotermes secundus
Lineage: Eukaryota; Metazoa; Arthropoda; Insecta; Blattodea; Kalotermitidae
Exons: 2
Source: RefSeq, a predicted model, not a curated record